AGGACGAACGCUGGCGGCGUGCUUAACACAUGCAAGUCGAGCGGUAAGGCUCCUUCGGGAGUACACGAGCGGCGAACGGGUGAGUAACACGUGAGCAAUCUGCCCUUCUCUUCGGAAUAACCAUUGGAAACGAUGGCUAAUGCCGAAUACGACCUCCUUUCGCAUGAUCGGAGGUGGAAAGCUCCGGCGGAGAAGGAUGAGCUCGCGGCCUAUCAGCUAGUUGGCGGGGUAACGGCCCACCAAGGCGACGACGGGUAGCCGGCCUGAGAGGGUGACCGGCCACACUGGGACUGAGACACGGCCCAGACUCCUACGGGAGCAGCAGUGGGGAAUA
Molecule: ribosomal RNA, 334 nt
Filed under: uncultured soil bacterium
Lineage: Bacteria
Description: bacterial SSU rRNA
Rfam family: Bacterial small subunit ribosomal RNA
Source: RNAcentral